Molecule: ribosomal RNA, 435 nt
Filed under: uncultured bacterium
Lineage: Bacteria
Description: bacterial SSU rRNA
Rfam family: Bacterial small subunit ribosomal RNA
Source: RNAcentral
UAAGGAAUAUUGGUCAAUGGACGCAAGUCUGAACCAGCCAUGCCGCGUGGAGGAUGACGGUCCUCUGGAUUGUAAACUUCUUUUAUCUGGGAAGAAACCCAUAUUUUCUAGUGUGGUUGACGGUACCAGAUGAAUAAGCACCGGCUAACUCCGUGCCAGCAGCCGCGGUAAUACGGAGGGUGCAAGCGUUAUCCGGAUUCACUGGGUUUAAAGGGUGCGUAGGCGGGUUGGUAAGUCCGUGGUGAAAUCUCCGAGCUUAACUCGGAAACUGCCGUGGAUACUAUCAAUCUUGAAUAUCGUGGAGGUAAGCGGAAUAUGUCAUGUAGCGGUGAAAUGCUUAGAUAUGACAUAGAACACCAAUUGCGUAGGCAGCUUACUACACGAUCAUUGACGCUGAGGCACGAAAGCGUGGGGAGCAAACAGGAUUAGAUACCC